Molecule: small RNA, 174 nt
Filed under: Massilia sp.
Lineage: Bacteria; Pseudomonadati; Pseudomonadota; Betaproteobacteria; Burkholderiales; Oxalobacteraceae
Description: Manganese sequence
Rfam family: Manganese Mn2+ riboswitch aptamer (yybP-ykoY)
About the family: This RNA was originally discovered in E. coli during a large scale screen and was named SraF. The family was later found to exist upstream of related families of protein genes in many bacteria, including the the yybP and ykoK genes in B. subtilis.
Source: RNAcentral
AGCGCACCCAUUGGGGAGUAGCCUGCUCGCGGAUCCUUCGCGAGUUCCCGUAUCAACAUACUCGUCGCCUCCCUGGCGACGUGGUACGGGCAGCCGUCUCGGUUGGCAAGACCUUUGGCAUACCGCGCGCUUUUGACCGGGCCGUGCGGCGUGCCUUCGUCAUUGCCCGGCCAG